This is a long non-coding RNA of Aquila chrysaetos chrysaetos, 636 nucleotides long. RefSeq lists it as uncharacterized. The record is from RefSeq and is a predicted model, not a curated record. Lineage: Eukaryota; Metazoa; Chordata; Aves; Accipitriformes; Accipitridae. The transcript has 3 exons.
UCUUCCUCCUCCUCCUCCCUCUGCCAGCCAUUUCGGCAGCUUGCUCUCGGUUCCCUGCCCGCACCCUGGCGUGAGGUGGAGCCGUUUUGCCAUCUUCAAGAAGGAGCAAUUGCCCUUUCCCCAGAAGUGUUUUGCUGUGAGCCAGUGAAGAAAGUUUGAUGGAAAGCAAGCUGGAUCCGAAACUACGGUGACCUCCUCUGUGAGGCUUUGUUAGUCCUCGGAGCUUGCAGAAGAGAUGUACGGGGAUUUUAACGUGAGAUUGCUGUGUGCCACUGCAGCAUUUCAAGUGCCUCUGCUCGCAGCAUUGGGGAGAUGUUUCUGUUCCUGUCUCUUGCUGGGAAGAAAAUGCAACAAUGCUCUCUAGAGGCAGAAGAAGUCAAGAAGAGGAACUCUUGUGCAUUUACAGCCCUGUGUGGCAGGAGCGAUGCAAAGUCCGUGACGUCUCAAGGAGGUUGCCCUGAGUCUGGAAAGCGCAUUGGGAACUGGAGGACGAGGCGAUGCUGGGCCCAGAGAGCUGACAGAGCCUUGCUGUGGGUCUGCGCUGCCCUGAGGAUGGGACUGAAGAGCUUUUGCUACGUGCAGUCUGCGAGUCAAGGUGAGAUGCACAGGGCUUUGUGCUUCCUCUGCCAUGCUCCG